This 1168-nucleotide ribosomal RNA is filed under the name Yersinia ruckeri. RNAcentral describes it as "partial 23S ribosomal RNA". It matches the Rfam family "Bacterial large subunit ribosomal RNA", at positions 1 to 1211 of the family's 2925-position model. Lineage: Bacteria; Pseudomonadati; Pseudomonadota; Gammaproteobacteria; Enterobacterales; Yersiniaceae. The record is from RNAcentral.
GGUUAAGCGACUAAGCGUACACGGUGGAUGCCUAGGCAGUCAGAGGCGAUGAAGGGCGUGCUAAUCUGCGAAAAGCGUCGGUAAGCUGAUAUGAAGCGUAAUAACCGACGAUACCCGAAUGGGGAAACCCAGUGCAAUUCGUUGCACUAUUGCAUGGUGAAUACAUAGCCAUGCAAGGCGAACCGGGGGAACUGAAACAUCUAAGUACCCCGAGGAAAAGAAAUCAACCGAGAUUCCCCCAGUAGCGGCGAGCGAACGGGGAAGAGCCCAGAGUCUGAAUCAGUUGGUGUGUUAGUGGAAGCGUCUGGAAAGUCGCACGGUACAGGGUGAUAGUCCCGUACACAAAAACACACUGGCUGUGAACUCGAUGAGUAGGGCGGGACACGUGACAUCCUGUCUGAAUAUGGGGGGACCAUCCUCCAAGGCUAAAUACUCCUGACUGACCGAUAGUGAACCAGUACCGUGAGGGAAAGGCGAAAAGAACCCCGGCGAGGGGAGUGAAAUAGAACCUGAAACCGUGUACGUACAAGCAGUGGGAGCACCUUCGUGGUGUGACUGCGUACCUUUUGUAUAAUGGGUCAGCGACUUAUAUUUUGUAGCAAGGUUAACCGAAUAGGGGAGCCGUAGGGAAACCGAGUCUUAACUGGGCGUCUAGUUGCAAGGUAUAGACCCGAAACCCGGUGAUCUAGCCAUGGGCAGGUUGAAGGUUGGGUAACACUAACUGGAGGACCGAACCGACUAAUGUUGAAAAAUUAGCGGAUGACUUGUGGCUGGGGGUGAAAGGCCAAUCAAACCGGGAGAUAGCUGGUUCUCCCCGAAAGCUAUUUAGGUAGCGCCUCGUGAACUCAUCUUCGGGGGUAGAGCACUGUUUCGGCUAGGGGUCCAUCCCGGAUUACCAAACCGAUGCAAACUCCGAAUACCGAAGAAUGUUAUCACGGGAGACACACGGCGGGUGCUAACGUCCGUCGUGAAGAGGGAAACAACCCAGACCGCCAGCUAAGGUCCCAAAGUCAUGGUUAAGUGGGAAACGAUGUGGGAAGGCAUAGACAGCCAGGAUGUUGGCUUAGAAGCAGCCAUCAUUUAAAGAAAGCGUAAUAGCUCACUGGUCGAGUCGGCCUGCGCGGAAGAUGUAACGGGGCUAAACCAUGCACCGAAGCUGCGGCAGCGA